This 107-nucleotide transfer RNA is filed under the name Candidatus Bathycorpusculum sp. RNAcentral describes it as "tRNA-Trp". It matches the Rfam family "tRNA". Rfam says of the family: Transfer RNA (tRNA) molecules are approximately 80 nucleotides in length. Their secondary structure includes four short double-helical elements and three loops (D, anti-codon, and T loops). Further hydrogen bonds mediate the characteristic L-shaped molecular structure. tRNAs have two regions of fundamental functional importance: the anti-codon, which is responsible for specific mRNA codon recognition, and the 3' end, to which the tRNAs corresponding amino acid is attached (by aminoacyl-tRNA synthetases). tRNAs cope with the degeneracy of the genetic code in two manners: having more than one tRNA (with a specific anti-codon) for a particular amino acid; and 'wobble' base-pairing, i.e. permitting non-standard base-pairing at the 3rd anti-codon position. The record is from RNAcentral. Lineage: Archaea; Thermoproteati; Candidatus Bathyarchaeota; Bathyarchaeia (SeqCode); Bathyarchaeales (SeqCode); Candidatus Bathycorpusculaceae.
GGGGUCGUAGUCUAGACAGGUAUGACGAUGGGCUCCAGACCCGUAGAGAAUCGAUUAGCGCGAUUCUUGGGCAAAGGUCGUCGGUUCAAAUCCGGCCGGCCCCACCA